Molecule: transfer RNA, 63 nt
Filed under: Leptodora kindtii
Lineage: Eukaryota; Metazoa; Arthropoda; Branchiopoda; Diplostraca; Leptodoridae
Description: tRNA-Trp
Source: RNAcentral
AAGACUUUAAGUUAAAUAAACUCAGAGCCUUCAAAGCUUUAAAUAGGCAGGGCCUAAGUCUUA